Long non-coding RNA from Cyanistes caeruleus (blue tit), 783 nucleotides. RefSeq lists it as uncharacterized. The record is from RefSeq and is a predicted model, not a curated record. Lineage: Eukaryota; Metazoa; Chordata; Aves; Passeriformes; Paridae.
UGCUCCACAGGCCUGCUCCACGGGAGUGUUCCACGGGCGUGCUCCACGGGAGUGUUCCACGGGCGUGCUCCACAGGCCUGCUCCACGGGCGUGUUCCACGGGCGUGUUCCACAGGCCUGCUCCACAGGCCCAGCUCCCGCCGCCACGGGGGCCGGGCACGGCUGAGCGGGGAUCCUGCAGGACCUGCGGCAGCCUGGACAGGGUCGCUGCGGGGCUUGCGGCGGUGGGCUGGGUAGGAGGACUGCCUCUACUUUCUUUUGUCUGCAACAGUUAUCAUCUCCAUGGUUUCAAGCCUGACACCCAAGUGCCUUUCUAAGAGCUGACUGUAUAUUCCCCAUCUUUCUCUGGAAUGGUGGGGUAUUAGGGGCUUUUCCACAAGACUUCAUGCUUCAGCUUUCUGGAGCGUUGAAGCUUGGGUGGCAUUUGUGAUGACAUUUCUUCAAGCAACUUUGGAGAAUCAACCCAAUAGCUCAUUUCAGAUUACUUCAUGGAUCAUCAUCAGCCAUCACUAGCCACUGUGCUAAUCUGAAGGAGAGCUCAGAGGGAUCUUGGAAGAAUCUCAUGGGAACAGGCCCUGAAGUGAAGACAGAUCCAAGAGCAUUUGUUGAUAUUCAAGCACCACCUCUGAGCUCAGGAAUGAUGCAUCCUAAUGGACAAGACAUUAGGCAAAGACUGAAAGAGACCUGUGUGGAUGAAUAAAGACCUCCUGUCAGUAAGCAGAAAAUACCCAGGAGAUGGAGGCAGGCUCAGACCACUUGGAAUGAAUAUAAAGAGGUUGGCAGG